This 572-nucleotide ribosomal RNA is filed under the name Ribes giraldii. RNAcentral describes it as "eukaryotic LSU rRNA". The stretch from base 176 to 331 matches the Rfam family "5.8S ribosomal RNA". The record is from RNAcentral. Lineage: Eukaryota; Viridiplantae; Streptophyta; Magnoliopsida; Saxifragales; Grossulariaceae.
UCUGUCGGAUGCGCUCGGGUUCUUGCAUUGUCUUUCGAGACGGUGUUGCGACCGUGCGCUCCCGGGCAAACCCAACGAACCCCGGCGCGAACUGCGCCAAGGAAAUAUAAAAGAAGGAGCACGCCCCCGGCACAUUCGUGUCGGAUGAGGGUGUGUCAUCUUUGAUGUCUUUAACGACUCUCGGCAACGGAUAUCUCGGCUCUCGCAUCGAUGAAGAACGUAGCGAAAUGCGAUACUUGGUGUGAAUUGCAGAAUCCCGUGAACCAUCGAGUCUUUGAACGCAAGUUGCGCCUGAAGCCAUUCGGCCGAAGGCACGUCUGCCUGGGCGUCACGUACCCAAUCGCUCCCCAAAACCUCCCACAUUUUUACGGAUUUGUGGAGGGCUAGGAGGGCGGAGAUUGGCCUCCCGUGCUGUAACGGCGCGGCUGGCCUAAAAGCAAAGCGUCGAGCGACGAAACGUCACGACAAGUGGUGGUAGAUAAAGCCCUAGCGGCAGCCUCAUCGUGUCGUGUGCGUCCAGUCGCGUUCGAUCGCCCAACGACCCCUACACGUCUCGACGAAUUCUGUCGCGA